UUGGAGGGCAAGUCUGGUGCCAGCAGCCGCGGUAAUUCCAGCUCCAAUAGCGUAUAUUAAAGUUGUUGCAGUUAAAAAGCUCGUAGUUGAAUUUCGGAGUUUGUCGGUUGGUCGGGCUUCACUGUCCGCACUGACCUGAUGGAUUCCUACCUUCUGAAUAACCAGCAUGCUAUUAAGUUAGUGCGUUGGGGAAGCAGAGCUAUUACCUUGAAAAAAUUAGAGUGCUUAAAGCAGGCUUAUGCUUGAAUAGAUUAGCAUGGAAUAAUAAAAUAGGACGGCAUGGUUCUAUUUUGUUGGUUUCUAGGAUCACCGUAAUGAUUAAUAGGGAUAGUUGGGGGCAUUAGUAUUCAAUUGUCAGAGGUGAAAUUCUUGGAUUUAUUGAAGACUAACUUCUGCGAAAGCAUUUACCAAGGAUGUUUUCAUUAAUCAAGAACGAAAGUUAGGGGAUCGAAGACGAUCAGAUACCGUCGUAGUCUUAACCAUAAACUAUGCCGACUAGGGAUCGGACGAUGUUAAUUUUUUAAUGACUCGUUCGGCGCCUUACGGGAAAC
This 551-nucleotide ribosomal RNA is filed under the name uncultured Acaulospora. Its description in RNAcentral is "SSU rRNA". It matches the Rfam family "Eukaryotic small subunit ribosomal RNA", at positions 548 to 1098 of the family's 1831-position model. The record is from RNAcentral. Lineage: Eukaryota; Fungi; Glomeromycota; Glomeromycetes; Diversisporales; Acaulosporaceae.